This 226-nucleotide long non-coding RNA is filed under the name Mytilus galloprovincialis (Mediterranean mussel). Lineage: Eukaryota; Metazoa; Mollusca; Bivalvia; Mytilida; Mytilidae. The record is from RNAcentral.
UUGUUGUUAGGAGCUAUCUCUUUAUUUUCGUCUUUCUUGGAUAUUUAUUUGAUUUUUUUUUACUUUAGAACAUAUUUACCUUAUUCGUCACAGGUCUAUUAUUAAUGAUUUAAAAAUGGAACACACGGUUUUAACUUUAAUUUCUAUGGCCUUAGCAACGUGUGUUUGUUUUUGUACAGCUAUGAUUUCAAAUGAAAAUGAAAGUUUACUCUGAAAUUCAUUAUUG